AGAGUUUGAUCAUGGCUCAGAACGAACGUUAGCGGCGCCCUAACACAUGCAAGUCGCACGAGAAGGGGAUUCGUCCCUGGUAAAGUGGCGCACGGGUGAGUAACACGUGGGUAACGUUCCCUCAGGCGGGGGAUAACCUUCCGAAAGGAGGGCUAAUACCGCAUAAGACCACGGCCUCGAAAGAGGCUGCGGUAAAAGCAGGCCUCUAUACAUAAGCUUGCACCGGAGGAUCGGCCCGCGGCCCAUCAGCUAGUUGGCAGGGUAACGGCCUACCAAGGCUAAGACGGGUAGCUGGUCUGAGAGGAUGAUCAGCCACACUGGAACUGAGACACGGUCCAGACUCCUACGGGAGGCAGCAGUGGGGAAUCUUGCGCAAUGGGCGAAAGCCUGACGCAGCGACGCCGCGUGGGUGAUGAAGGCCUUCGGGUUGUAAAGCCCUGUGGGGAGGGACGAAUAAGUCGGCGCUAAUACCGCCGGCGAUGACGGUACCUCCUUAGCAAGCACCGGCUAACUCUGUGCCAGCAGCCGCGGUAAGACAGAGGGUGCAAACGUUGUUCGGAAUUACUGGGCGUAAAGCGUGUGUAGGCGGCUGCGCAAGUCGGAUGUGAAAGCCCCGGGCUCAACCCGGGAAGUGCACCCGAAACUGCGUAGCUUGAGUACCGGAGAGGUUGGUGGAAUUCUCGGUGUAGAGGUGAAAUUCGUAGAUAUCGAGAGGAACACCGGUGGCGAAGGCGGCCAACUGGACGAGUACUGACGCUGAGACACGAAAGCGUGGGGAGCAAACAGGAUUAGAUACCCUAGUAGUCC
RNAcentral lists this ribosomal RNA (807 nucleotides) under uncultured bacterium. RNAcentral describes it as "bacterial SSU rRNA". It matches the Rfam family "Bacterial small subunit ribosomal RNA", at positions 8 to 796 of the family's 1533-position model. The record is from RNAcentral.